This is a long non-coding RNA of Canis lupus familiaris (dog), 489 nucleotides long. RefSeq lists it as uncharacterized. The transcript has 3 exons. The record is from RefSeq and is a predicted model, not a curated record. Lineage: Eukaryota; Metazoa; Chordata; Mammalia; Carnivora; Canidae.
CUGAAAUCAUAAAAGAGAAGCAUUCCAAUAUGUCACGGGAUUGCUGAAACUCGAUGGCACAGAAUUCAUCAGAGCUCUGUCCCCUUCCUCCAUGAAGGUUGCAACAAAUGGAGACAAAGGAGGGCCGUUCACUUUCCCUAUCGCUGGCCCUUUACUAGUGCGGGGUCAGAGUUCUCCAAAUGCUGUGUGGAAGGUUUGGAGGCCUCUAAUUAAAAUGCAAAAUAGCUCUCACCUGGGACUUAUCUUGUGGUGAGAAACCAGGCUGUGAAGAAGUUAAUCUUAAAAAUCUUUCAACAGAAGGAUUUAUGGCUUGAUCUUUGAGGAGUCCAUGCCAUGAGGCGGGAUCUGGCGAGGGCAGCUCUAUCGUAGUAUCGCAUUUUCCACUCAGCCAAGGAAUCUCAGGCACAACUACUGCUCCCUGACCUAUGUAACCUGCCAACAACAGAGACCAAGGCUGAAACCCUGCCAUCAUACUACCAGCCACUGGAG